This 609-nucleotide ribosomal RNA is filed under the name uncultured delta proteobacterium. RNAcentral describes it as "bacterial SSU rRNA". It matches the Rfam family "Bacterial small subunit ribosomal RNA", at positions 227 to 828 of the family's 1533-position model. Lineage: Bacteria; Deltaproteobacteria. The record is from RNAcentral.
GGGCCCGCGUUCCAUUAGCUUGUUGGCGGGGUAAUGGCCCACCAAGGCGACGAUGGGUAGCCGACCUGAGAGGGUGAUCGGCCACACUGGGACUGGAACACGGCCCAGACUCCUACGGGAGGCAGCAGUGGGGAAUAUUGCGCAAUGGGCGAAAGCCUGACGCAGCGACGCCGCGUGAGGGAUGAAGGCCUUCGGGUCGUAAACCUCUGUCAGGAGGGAAGAACCGCCCAGGUGCUAAUCAGCCUGGGUCUGACGGUACCUCUAAAGGAAGCACCGGCUAACUCCGUGCCAGCAGCCGCGGUAAUACGGAGGGUGCGAGCGUUAAUCGGAAUCACUGGGCGUAAAGCGCACGUAGGCUGUUUGGUAAGUCAGGGGUGAAAUCUCGCGGCUCAACCGCGGAAUUGCCCUUGAUACUGCUGGACUUGAGUCCGGGAGAGGGUGGCGGAAUUCCAGGUGUAGGAGUGAAAUCCGUAGAUAUCUGGAGGAACAUCAGUGGCGAAGGCGGCCACCUGGACCGGUACUGACGCUGAGGUGUGAAAGCGUGGGGAGCAAACAGGAUUAGAUACCCUGGUAGUCCACGCUGUAAACGAUGAACACUAGAUGCCGGAG